GGAAGGAUCAUUAUCAAUGAUAUCCAUCAUACACCGUGAACCGCCCGCCUCCGGGGCAACCUGGGGUCGGGCAUUAAACUCUAUACCUUACAGCAGAGUCAAUUAGUAACACUAAUACGACAACUUUUAGCAACGGAUCUCUAGGUUCUCGCAACGAUGAAGAACGCAGCGAAUUGCGAAAAGUAAUGUGAAUUGCAUAAUUCCGUGAAUCAUCAAAUCUUUGAACGCACCUUGCGCUUGCGGGAAUUCCUGCAAGCAUGCCUGUUUGAGUAUCAGUUUACAAACUCCACAAGGAUUUAUUCUUGGGGGACUUGGGCCCGUGGAGAAACAGUUGUUUCCUCCCACCCGCCUUAAAUACAAGAGUGCUUGCCCAAAGCGCAGAUAGAGCCAGUCCGAAAGGAAUGUCUAUUGGCGACGCGGAGCGGCCCCUCUGAACGGAUUUAUCCAACCAACCCCAUGAUCUCAAAUCAAGCAAGACAACCCGCUGAACUUAAGCAUAUUAAUAAGCGGAGGAAAAGAAACUAACAAGGAUUCCCCUAGUAACGGCGAGUGAAGCGGGAACAGCUCAAAUUUAAAAUCUCCCAGGAGAAUUGUAGUUUAUAAAAGCGUUAUCGAGGCCGGCCUAGGUACAAGUUCUUUGGAACAAGGCAUCAUAGAGGGUGAGAAUCCCGUCUUCGACCUAGGUACCGGCCCACUACGAUGCGUCUUUCAAGAGUCGGGUUGUUUGGGAAUGCAGCCCUAAAUUGGUGGUAUAUUUCAUCUAAAGCUAAAUAUUGGCGAGAGACCGAUAGCGAACAAGUACCGUGAGGGAAAGAUGAAAAGAACUUUGAAAAGAGAGUUAAAAGUACGUGAAAUUGCUAAAAGGGAAACAUUUGACACCAGUAUUUGGGGGUCGAAAAUCAACCUCGGCACUCGCCGGGGUGCACUUUUCGGCACUCAGGUCAACGUCCGUUUUGUCUGCCGUAAAAAAGCCAAGAGAAGGUAGGUGCUUGCACUGUUAUAGCUCUGGCCGAUGCGGUGGACGGGACGGAGGACUGCGGUACAUGCCCUCGGGCUGGGUUCGCGGCAGCCGUGUGGGCGCGAUGUGCGGACAGCUUGCUGACCGUAUGCCGCUCCCCAUGCGCCCUGCUGUAGGACCACAAAUGUACCUAGGACGUUGACGAAAUGGUUUUAAAUGACCCGUCUUGAAACACGGACCAAGGAGUCUAACAUAUAUGCGAGUAUUUGGGUGCCAAGCCCAUAUGCGUAAUGAAAGUGAACGUAGGUGUGAAGCUUCGGCUGCAGCAUCGACCGAACUUGAUUUUUAAUGAUAGUUUUGAGUAGGAGCAUAUCUGUUGGGACCCGAAAGAUGGUGAACUAUACCUGGAUAGGCCGAAGCCAGAGGAAACUCUGGUGGAGGGUCGUAGCGAUUCUGACGUGCAAAUCGAUCGUCAAAUCUGGGUAUAGGGGCGAAAGACUAAUCGAACCGUCUAAUGGCUGGUUCCCUC
Molecule: unclassified non-coding RNA, 1487 nt
Filed under: uncultured fungus
Lineage: Eukaryota; Fungi
Description: sequence contains 18S rRNA gene, ITS1, 5.8S rRNA gene, ITS2, 28S rRNA gene
Rfam family: Eukaryotic large subunit ribosomal RNA (bases 458-1487)
Source: RNAcentral